UUAAAAGAUCCUACCUCAACCCUCUGCCGAUCCCUCCCACGCAUCCACCCUCUUUCCACCGCCGCCGCCUUGAAUAGGUCGAUGCCGGAAAAGCUGCAAAUCCAUACAUUGACAGGAUCCAUCUUCAUAUAUUUCAGAACAGUGAUACAAAUAUAGUUUUGAUAGACAUUACUUGGCUGAGACGACUCAUCCUAUAAUCUUGAGUAGUUUGAUCAAAUAAUUCAUGUGUUUAUAGUCUUCUUUCAAGAAAGUAUAUGAGAUAGAAAGAGGGAGCCGGUGAUAGAAAAGUGAACUCCGGGGAAGUUGCGUUGAUUGUAUUGGCGUGUCAACCCUAUGAAUCGAAGCUUAGAGCACGCUGAGGCUUAUGAUGAUGAUCGUUUGUCUAAUUACAAAACAGUGGUGGUUCAAUUGAAACCUCAUAUAGUCGACAACUAGGGUUCAUGACUCGAAGGUGAUGACGGAGACGAUCAGGGUUAGGUUUCAGGCGAUAGAUGGUGUCAAACAAUGGUCGUAUGGAACAUAUGGACGGUCGGCUCCGCUCAAAAUAGGGGAACGCAUUUCGGUCACCUUAUAGUUCAGAGAGUUGAAGGUACCAACGAUUAAGAAGGCGAUAUGUUUGACAUAUAGCCCACGAAAAAAAUGAUUGCUUUCUUAAUUUUCUACCCUAAUAAGUCUUGCAAGGAACAGGUUCACUAUAUAUUAGGAGAUUGGUCAAUGAAGAUGUCUUAUAUG
Molecule: long non-coding RNA, 732 nt
Filed under: Helianthus annuus (common sunflower)
Lineage: Eukaryota; Viridiplantae; Streptophyta; Magnoliopsida; Asterales; Asteraceae
Description: hypothetical non coding rna
Source: RNAcentral